Leucoraja erinaceus (little skate) is the source of this 1569-nucleotide long non-coding RNA. RefSeq lists it as uncharacterized. NCBI's taxonomy places the organism in Eukaryota, Metazoa, Chordata, Chondrichthyes, Rajiformes, Rajidae. The record is from RefSeq and is a predicted model, not a curated record. The transcript has 3 exons.
AGAAAAUGCCCUUGUCACUCAUGUGGCCCGUGGGGUGAUUCCCCUUCCCGUGUUUAAGGGGUGUCCUCACCGGACACUGCCCCUUAAUGCCGAGCAGCUGAAGGACCAUAUGUCUUGGCAUCUUCACGGCGUCUGAUAUAAUAUUGAUCGCACACCAUCGAUCCGCUUGCUGUGCAAGGCUGUGACAGAGCAGAGUCCGUGCAUUGGGUGGGUAGUGUGGACCUGGGACCGGCUGUGCGGGAGCGCGCGGCGGGGAGUGUGGACCCGGGAGCGCGCGGUGGGGUUCGUGGACCCGGGAGCGCGCGGCGGGGAGUGUGGACCCGGGAGCGCGCAUCACUGGCUCUGUGCCGGCACAUUGUUGCAGUCGGGUGGACGUGUAUAUCUGCAGGCUGCUGCCAGUCAUUGACAUUCACCCGGCGUGGGAACCAUCAGAGAACAGCUUCUGCAUCUGAACCGAUUCAGUUACUCAGGGCGUAGACUAUUCAACAGAGAUGCUCUACAGAGGCAGGAACCAUCCCAACAUGUAAGAAACAGUUUGACAGUAUAAUCUGAAGAAUUGAAUUGGUCUUGAAUUACAUUUGAACAUGGUGGGAAAUGACAAUGGUGCCUGGCUAACAUUGAUCAAAGCAGGCAUUACAGGGCAGAGACUGAAUUCCAAAAUAGUCAAGCUAUAUAUUUUCAGCUCAUUAUUGACACUUCUGACAGUCUUCUUGGGACUAAUAGAGAUGUUACAUUUGAUCAAACAGCCUACCAAAGAGGAUGGUGACUUUGAAGCAAGCAAAAUGUUUGCCAACACGUCAAGAUUCACAAGAAACCAUUGUUCAAUUACAAAGAAAAAUCCAUGCAGAUUACAUGCCUCUUAAAGUUUCCAAACUGAAAAUCAAAGGUGUGAAUGGUUAUUUGGAUUUGUGUUUUUCAGCCAGAGAGAGCAUGUCAUAUGUUUAAAUGUUAUAUUUGACGUUGAUGUUUAUUGUUGAGCCUCUCACUAGUUAUUCAAAAUGCAGAGAUUAAAUUAGUGCUUUGUACUAAUAACCAAAGUCUUAUUUUUCUCAAGAAAAGAUGGUAAUUUUAUAGUUUACUAUAUUUGUGGCUAAUUUAAUGAUUUGUGUAAAUUUAGUCUACCAUGUUUAAUUUGUCACUGCAAAAAUGUUGUGUCUUUGUUGUACAUUUAUGCAGUUGAGAGUGUUGCUAUCUGCCAUAGACUUAAAAAUACAAACAUGUACAAUUUUGUGCAACAUAUACUCAAUAAUGUGAUUAUAGCACACACAUUUGACAGACUUAAUUUGUAAUUUUGUACAUAAUACUGAUGUUUAAUUUUCAUUUUGAUUAUUGUUUAUUCCUGCUGUUCAAAGAAUCUAGUCCUGUGCUAUGAUUGAACAACAUUAAAAGAUGCUUUUUAAAAUGUUGACUUUCUUUGCUUGGGAUUGCUGCUAUCAGAAUGUAUGUUUGGACAUCAAUUAUCAAUGUGGGUACACUCUGAAGAUUAAAAAAACAGCUUUUGAAAGUAGUGCAUUUUCAUAAUAUAUUAGAUCAAGUGGGACCCGUUGCCCCAAACACAAUAAUCCACCA